AAAUUUUUUUUUCUUCUAGGCUUCUCUAGCUGAAACAGAUAAAAUCACUCUGGAGGUAGCAAAACUUAUCAAAGAUGAUUUCUUACAACAAAAUGGAUAUACUCCUUAUGACAGGUUCUGCCCAUUCUACAAGACAGUCGGGAUGCUGUCCAACAUGAUUGCAUUUUAUGAUAUGGCCCGGAGAGCUGUCGAAACCACUGCACAGAGUGACAAUAAAAUCACAUGGUCCAUUAUCCGUGAGCACAUGGGGGAGAUUCUCUAUAAGCUUUCCUCUAUGAAAUUCAAGGAUCCAGUGAAAGAUGGUGAGGCAAAGAUCAAGGCCGACUAUGCACAACUUCUUGAAGAUAUGCAGAACGCAUUUCGUAGCCUUGAAGAUUAGAACUGUGAUUUCUUUCCUUCCUUUCCUCAGCAACCUCCUCUCAUGUGUAUAUUUUCCUAAAUUUCUCAUCUCCAAACCCUUUGCUUCUUUAUUGUGCAGCUUUGAGACUAGUGCCUACGUGUGUUAUCAUUUGUUUCCCUGUUUAUCUGGUAGGUCUUAUAUAAAACAAACAUUCCUUUGUUCCAGUGUUUGAAGGGCCUCCAUGAUCCUUUCUCCGAAGUGGUGAAUGUAGUAAAUAUGAUAUAUAAUGGCUACACUACUGUAAACUUGUCUGUAGGGUGACAUCCCUACUUGUCCUCGGUUUGCCCUUUCCUCCUCGCCUUUAAAUUGUAAACAGGACUACUGCAUGUACUCUCUUUGCAAUAGAUUUGGAAUGGAAGGCCAGAUUUCUAUACAUUUUGACAGGUACUUUGUGAAAUGACUCUAUCUCUGUGGUAAGGUUAUUUGCAGCUUAGCAUUUUGCUGAGUAACUGCUUUGCAGGAUAUAAUUGCCUUUUUCUAAAAACAUGAAUGAUUAAUGUUCCAAUUAUGCAUUGCUUUCCCCAGUAUAAAUCAGGAAUGUUUGUAGGAAACUGUUGGGAACUCUGCUGUUUUUAAAACAGGCAUUUGUGGGACUCAGCACAGUAUAUGAAUCAGUACCCUCUAAAAAGGUGGAAAAGGGGCCAGGUGGUCAAACUUAAAACAUCACCUUGUUAAAGCAUAUUUAUUUCACUAUGAAAAAUUCAGUAUCAAGGACUAUACUACUACAUUACUAAGAAAUUCUUUUUAAAAUCACAUUUAAAACAAUCACCGGAACUUGAUCCACAUCACACCCUUUCCUUUUUCUCAAACGUCUUAGAAGCCUGAGCUUCUAAGAAUCAUGUGGCAGUGGGAUGGGCAGUAAAAUGCCACAGAGAAGGUAUUCAGUAUGGUUAAAGGCUGUUUGCACCAUUAAGGACCAGCUGGACCGUAGUGAAAAUUGGGGCCAGAGUGGCAUUAUGUUUUUACAAGAUAGAUAUGUGUCACGUGUUUGCAUGUUUGUUUGCUUAGUGAACUUUUGAACAACCAGUUUACCAGUUUACUGGUUCAAAAGAUUUCUCAGAAUAUCUGUAGCAAUAGCAGCAUAACAGUUUCCAUGCUGCUUCAUAGGGAGGAAAUUAAUUCUCCUAUGUGCUGAUGACAGAAUCUGGGUCAUGUGAGAAGAAAGAUAAUUUCAUCCUGUCUUUUCAGUAUAUGUUUUAAAAUAAUAAUUUCUGUGUCUGUGUAAGGCACGCUACAGAACAGCUCUGAGAGCAACAGUUUCUCUAUUAACUCUUUCUGACCAACAGUGCUGGCACCAUUGCUUCCUCUUUGGGAAGAGGAAAGGGUAUGUGAAUAUGUCUAACAAUCGCAAAUACCCAAACGUAAUAGCAUAAGUAAAGUAUUUAUUUUAUGCCUCAGUAUAUUAUUAUUUAAUUUUUAGUAACGUAUUUCUUUUGGUCCGUUAAGGAAAGAUGCCGUGAGUAGAGAAUUUAGCUAUAGUUUGUUGAAAUCCUUGCAGAGUGCAUGUUUUUACAGUGGCUUGCUACUCAGGAUAGAUAUUCUUCCACGCAGCUUUUUUUUUUUAACCUUUCCGAAUAUUGGAAGAUAAAAAUUAUGCAGUGAUUUGUUGAGAUGCGGACUUAAUGGUGCUGCUUUAUCAGUUUGCUUCCAAUGUGGCCUCCUACCCAGAGGCCCUGAGACCAGUGGAAAUGAAAAGGAUUUCAAAAAUGUUCUAUUCCUACCUUAAACUGACCAGCAAACUAGGACUGUGAUAGUAGUGAAUGAUAUGAUGAAGAAAGUUUUACCAAGUUUGUUUUUUGUUGUUCUGAAUUUACAAUGUAAUUCCUACUCCCUUUUAAGAAUGUUGAUGUAUGGGUGUGAAGAGGCUAGAGAUAGAAGAUGCUCUGCUAUUCAUUGUAAGUGUCCUUCAACCUAUAUGUUGUAGAAUUUCAGAUUGGUCACUGAUCAUAUUUCUUUGGUAAGAAUGUGUUAAAAUUACAACAAUCUUUUAAAAAGAUGAUGCAGUUCUAUAUUGUGCUAUGCCUGGUCCUAAGUGGAGCCAGUUAAACAAGUUUCAUAUGUAUUUUUCCAGUGGUAAAUCUCACACAUUGUACCCUUUGGAAAUUUCCUUCCAUCCUGAAGAACGAAUAGAAGAGGCCAUAUAUAUUGCCUCCUUAUCCUUGAGAUUUCACUAUCUUUAUGUUAAAAGCUGUGUAUAAUUGUUAAAAUCUAUGAAAGAAUAAAAAGUGGAUUUAAAUUAA
Leptonychotes weddellii (Weddell seal) is the source of this 2640-nucleotide non-coding RNA. Lineage: Eukaryota; Metazoa; Chordata; Mammalia; Carnivora; Phocidae. The record is from RefSeq and is a predicted model, not a curated record.